RNAcentral lists this ribosomal RNA (497 nucleotides) under uncultured bacterium. Its description in RNAcentral is "partial 16S ribosomal RNA". It matches the Rfam family "Bacterial small subunit ribosomal RNA", at positions 28 to 507 of the family's 1533-position model. The record is from RNAcentral.
GAUGAACGCUGGCGGCGUGCCUAAUACAUGCAAGUCGAGCGAACAGACGAGGAGCUUUCUCCUCUGACGUUAGCGGCGCACGGGUGAGUAACACAUGGAUAACCUACCUAUAAUACUUGGAUAACUUCGCGAAACCGGAUCUAAUACCCGAUAAUAUAUUGAACCGCAUUGUUCAAUAGUUAAAGACGGUUUUGCUUUCGCUUAUAGAUGGAUCCGGGUCGCCUGAGCUAGUGGCUAAGGUAACGGCUUACCAAGGCAACGAUGCGUAGCCGACCUGAGAGGGUGGUCGGACACACUGGAACUGAGACACGGUCCAGACCACUACGGGAGGCAGCAGUAGGGAAUCUUCCGCAACGGGCGGAAGCCUGACGGAGCAACGCCGCGUGAGGGAUGAAGGUCUUCGGAUCGUAAAACUAUGUUAUUAGGGAAGAAAAAAUGUGUAAGUAACUAUGCACGUCUUGACGGUACCUAAUCAGAAAGCCACGGCUAACUACGUG